RNAcentral lists this ribosomal RNA (301 nucleotides) under uncultured bacterium. RNAcentral describes it as "partial 16S ribosomal RNA". It matches the Rfam family "Bacterial small subunit ribosomal RNA", at positions 509 to 807 of the family's 1533-position model. The record is from RNAcentral.
CAGUCGCCGCGGUAAUGCGUAGGUGGCAAGCGUUGUCCGGAUUUAUUGGGCGUAAAGCGAGCGCAGGCGGUCAAUUAAGUCUGAUGUGAAAGCCCCCGGCUCAACCGGGGAGGGUCAUUGGAAACUGGUUGACUUGAGUGCAGAAGAGGAGAGUGGAAUUCCAUGUGUAGCGGUGAAAUGCGUAGAUAUAUGGAGGAACACCAGUGGCGAAGGCGACUCUCUGGUCUGUAACUGACGCUGAGGCUCGAAAGCGUGGGUAGCAAACAGGAUUAGAUACCCCCGUAGUCCCUGUCUCUUAUAC